CAGAAGGGAAAGACAAAUGAUGAGGACAGGAAAUGCAAGGAAAGGAACCGAAGCAAAAAGCUGACUAAUGUGGGUCAGGAUAAAAAUAAUGUAACCAAAGGAGUGGACAACAAGCAGAAGCAGAAACUGGGGGCUGUCAGAGGGCAGAGGAGGAAAACACUCUGGUUCCAGAGGGUGAGGCCCAGGAGUGGAUGUCUGCUGGAUGCUUCUGACCCUCAUCGAAGGAGACAGUGCCUGCCAGAAGGCACCAGUAUGGAGACAGAGACUGUCAACCACAGGAGGUCUCAGAUAUCACCUCCUCCAAGAAGUCCUCCCUGGGCACCUUUUCUGCAGCAGCAUCCCCAGUGUUUCUUCUCCUAAUAGAACUCUUCGCUACCUGAACUUAUCUUCCUCAUUUCUUCACCCAUUUCUCGUGAGUAACUUCUAUGAUGGAGAGGCCUCUGAGUCUCCAGUGCACAGUAGGAGCUCUGAAAAUAGCACUGAGUAGACGCUCAGAAGAUACUUGUUGAAUGAAUGAACGAGCUAACCCAGCCAAACAAGUUUCUCAUUUGGCUAUAGUGGCUCUUGGUUUUACAAUAUCACAUU
RNAcentral lists this long non-coding RNA (585 nucleotides) under Equus caballus (horse). RNAcentral's name for it is "lncRNA (ENSECAG00000041929.2)". The record is from RNAcentral. Lineage: Eukaryota; Metazoa; Chordata; Mammalia; Perissodactyla; Equidae.